GGGAAUAUUGGACAAUGGGCGCAAGCCUGAUCCAGCAAUGCCGCGUGGGUGAAGAAGGUUUUCGGAUUGUAAAGCCCUUUCGGCGGGGACGAUGAUGACGGUACCCGCAGAAGAAGCUCCGGCUAACUUCGUGCCAGCAGCCGCGGUAAUACGAAGGGGGCUAGCGUUGCUCGGAAUGACUGGGCGUAAAGGGCGCGUAGGCGGUUGGUACAGUCAGAUGUGAAAUUCCUGGGCUUAACCUGGGGGCUGCAUUUGAUACGUGCUGGCUUGAGUGGGGAAGAGGGUCGUGGAAUUCCCAGUGUAGAGGUGAAAUUCGUAGAUAUUGGGAAGAACACCGGUGGCGAAGGCGGCGACCUGGUCCUUGACUGACACUGAGGGACGAAAGCUAGGGGAGCGAAAG
This 400-nucleotide ribosomal RNA is filed under the name uncultured bacterium. RNAcentral's name for it is "bacterial SSU rRNA". It matches the Rfam family "Bacterial small subunit ribosomal RNA", at positions 357 to 774 of the family's 1533-position model. The record is from RNAcentral.